RNAcentral lists this ribosomal RNA (177 nucleotides) under Ajuga decumbens. RNAcentral's name for it is "5.8S ribosomal RNA". The stretch from base 19 to 174 matches the Rfam family "5.8S ribosomal RNA". From Rfam's summary of the family: 5.8S ribosomal RNA (5.8S rRNA) is a component of the large subunit of the eukaryotic ribosome. It is transcribed by RNA polymerase I as part of the 45S precursor that also contains 18S and 28S rRNA. The record is from RNAcentral. Lineage: Eukaryota; Viridiplantae; Streptophyta; Magnoliopsida; Lamiales; Lamiaceae. RNAcentral also lists the same sequence under 2 other names.
CUGUCGUAAUACCAAAACGACUCUCGGCAACGGAUAUCUCGGCUCUCGCAUCGAUGAAGAACGUAGCGAAAUGCGAUACUUGGUGUGAAUUGCAGAAUCCCGUGAACCAUCGAGUCUUUGAACGCAAGUUGCGCCCGAAGCCGUCAGGCCGAGGGCACGUCUGCCUGGGCGUCACGC